UCCCAAACAAAAACACUCUAAAUACAAUAACAAUGCCGCAUCUCACAACAUUACCAAGAACAGCAAUCAGCCUUCUAAUCUUUAACCUCUACUCGUCUGAUCAACCGUCGAGCUUUUAGGGUUCAAUCACAAACAAAGGUGUGUCAACACUGACUGGCCUGCCAUCUUCUGCAAGAAUUUCAACUAUGGUCCCUGACUGAUCAGCUUCUAUUUCAUUCAUCAAUUUCAUGGCUUCAAUGAUGCACACGACUUGUCCCUUCUGCACUUUGUCUCCAACCUUCACAAAAGAUGGUUCACCUGGAGCAGGACUUCUGUAGAAUGUGCCAGCCAUAGG
RNAcentral lists this unclassified non-coding RNA (334 nucleotides) under Hevea brasiliensis (rubber tree). Lineage: Eukaryota; Viridiplantae; Streptophyta; Magnoliopsida; Malpighiales; Euphorbiaceae. The record is from RNAcentral.